AGUGAACGCUGGCGGUAGGCCUAACACAUGCAAGUCGAACGGCAGCACAGUAAGAGCUUGCUCUUACGGGUGGCGAGUGGCGGACGGGUGAGGAAUACAUCGGAAUCUACUUUUUCGGGGGGGAUAACGUAGGGAAACUUACGCUAAUACCGCAUACGACCUACGGGUGAAAGCAGGGGAGCUUCGGACCUUGCGCGAUUGAAUGAGCCGAUGUCGGAUUAGCUAGUUGGCGGGGUAAAGGCCCACCAAGGCGACGAUCCGUAGCUGGUCUGAGAGGAUGAUCAGCCACACUGGAACUGAGACACGGUCCAGACUCCUACGGGAGGCAGCAGUGGGGAAUAUUGGACAAUGGGCGCAAGCCUGAUCCAGCCAUACCGCGUGGGUGAAGAAGGCCUUCGGGUUGUAAAGCCCUUUUGUUGGGAAAGAAAAGCAGCAGGUUAAUACCCCGCUGUUCUGACGGUACCCAAAGAAUAAGCACCGGCUAACUUCGUG
RNAcentral lists this ribosomal RNA (492 nucleotides) under uncultured bacterium. RNAcentral's name for it is "partial 16S ribosomal RNA". It matches the Rfam family "Bacterial small subunit ribosomal RNA", at positions 29 to 507 of the family's 1533-position model. The record is from RNAcentral.